UGGGGAAUUUUGGACAAUGGGCGCAAGCCUGAUCCAGCCAUUCCGCGUGAGUGAAGAAGGCCUUCGGGUUGUAAAGCUCUUUCGCAAGGGAAGAAAACUUAGUCUCUAACAUAGACUGAGGUUGACGGUACCUUGAUAAGAAGCACCGGCUAACUACGUGCCAGCAGCCGCGGUAAUACGUAGGGUGCGAGCGUUAAUCGGAAUUACUGGGCGUAAAGCGUGCGCAGGCGGUUUUGUAAGUCAGAUGUGAAAUCCCCGAGCUCAACUUGGGAACUGCGUUUGAAACUACAAGACUAGAAUAUGUCAGAGGGGGGUAGAAUUCCACGUGUAGCAGUGAGAUGCGUAGAGAUGUGGAGGAAUACCAAUGGCGAAGGCAGCCCCCUGGGAUAAUAUUGACGCUCAUGCACGAAAGCGUGGGGAGCAAACAG
This 428-nucleotide ribosomal RNA is filed under the name uncultured bacterium. RNAcentral's name for it is "bacterial SSU rRNA". It matches the Rfam family "Bacterial small subunit ribosomal RNA", at positions 355 to 775 of the family's 1533-position model. The record is from RNAcentral.